AUGGGUUUAAUGACAAGCAUGACCAAAAAUCAGUUUGGUUUCAUGCCUGGGAGGUCGACCAUGGAAGCCAUUUUCUUGGUACGACAACUCAUGGAGAGAUACAGGGAGCAAAAGAAGGACUUGCAUAUGGUGUUCAUUGACUUAGAGAAGGCAUAUGAUAAGAUACCGCGGAAUGUCAUGUGGUGGCCCUUGGAGAAACACAAAGUCCCAGCAAAGUACAUUACCCUCACCAAGGACAUGUAUGAUAAUGUUGUGACAAGUCAUGUCGCCACUGAUGACGUCCCGAUUAAGAUAGGACUGCAUCAGGGGUCAGCUUUGAGCCCUUAUCUUUUUGGCUUGGUGAUGGAUGAGGUCACAAAGGGAUAUACAAGGAGAUAUCCCAUGGUAUAUGCUCUUUGCGGAUGA
Molecule: ribosomal RNA, 405 nt
Filed under: Triticum aestivum (bread wheat)
Lineage: Eukaryota; Viridiplantae; Streptophyta; Magnoliopsida; Poales; Poaceae
Description: partial small subunit ribosomal RNA
Source: RNAcentral